GUCCCUUCGGGGACAUCCGAUAAAAUUGGAACGAUACAGAGAAGAUUAGUAUGGUCCAUACGCAAGGAUGACACGCAUAAAUCGAGAACUGGUCUAAAUUUUU
This is a non-coding RNA of Brassica napus (rape), 103 nucleotides long. NCBI's taxonomy places the organism in Eukaryota, Viridiplantae, Streptophyta, Magnoliopsida, Brassicales, Brassicaceae. The record is from Rfam.